This 1992-nucleotide long non-coding RNA is filed under the name Homo sapiens (human). Its description in RNAcentral is "HSALNT0080752". The record is from RNAcentral. Lineage: Eukaryota; Metazoa; Chordata; Mammalia; Primates; Hominidae.
CAGGGAAGUGGGGGAAAGCGGCCAGUCACAGAACUCUCCCAGCUCCCACGCAGCCCGCGGCCUGAAAGGCUGGUCUCACUCCCACUGAGUGGCUUGCAUAUGAUCUUAUAUAUACUCUCACUCUCACUCCUGGCUUGUAUAUGAUCUUAUACAAGUUAGAAAAGCAAGCUGACUCACAGUUUCUUGGCUCUCCCACAGAGCCUGCAGUGGCUAUCCACCUCCUUCAAAGGGUCUGUGGAUUCUCUUGGCUUUCCUGGUAUGUUCCCGCUAUAGUUCUUGGAGCAAAAGUUCACAUUGUGGGUCUCCAGAGGCUGCUCUGUUUAUCCGAAUGGGAGCUGAAAGAAUGCCUGUUACUAUGCAUCUAACAAAGGACUAAAAUCCAGAAUCUACAAGGAACUAAACUCAACAAGAAAAAAUAAUCUCAUUAACAAGUGGGGAAAAGAUAGGAACAGACAUUUCUCAAAAGAAGAUAUACAAGAGGACAAGAAACAUAAAAUAAAAUGCUCAAUAUCACUAACCGUCAGUGAAAUGCAAGUUAAAACCACAAUGAGAUGCCACAUCACACCGGUCGGAAUGGCCAUUAUUAAAAAGUCAAAAAACCACAGAUGUCGACAAAGAUGCAGAGAAAAGGGAGCACUUAUACACCGUUGGUGCGAAUAUGAAUUAGUACAACCUCUAUGGACAACAGUAUAGAGAUUUCUCAAAGAAGUAAAAAUAGAACCACCAUUAGGCCCAGCAAUCCCACUACUGGGUAUCUACCCAAAGAAAGAGAAAUUGUUAUAUAUAUAUAUCUGCACUCAUAUGUUUAUCACUGCACUAGUCGCAGUAACAAAGUCAUGGAAUGAACCUAAGUUUCCAUCAAAAGAUGAUUGGAUAAAGAAAAUGUGGAAUACCAUGAAAUACUACACAUCCGUAGAAAAAAAAUUAUGUCUUCUGCAGCAACAUGGAUGUAACUGGAGGUCAAAAUACUCAGAAACACAACAUCAAAUACCACAUGUUCUCACUUAUAAAUGGGAGACAUGUACAAACAGAGAAAAAUAGUCAAGGCUGGGGACUUUAAAAGAGGGGCUUGGGAGGGACUUGAGAGUUGAAAAAUUACCUACUGGAUACAAUGUUCAUUAUUCAGGUAAUAGGAACAUUAGAAGCCCAAAUCUCAGCUUUCCACAAUAUAUCCAUGUGACAAAUCUGCAUAUAUACCCACUGAAUCUAUAAAAAUAAAAUGAAUAAAUUUUAAAAAGCAUGUUUCAACACUUCAUAGAAACUCUACAGUUUGGUUAUUAACAUAGAAUCUUCUAGGUCUCAUGGUCAAGUAGCAACAGAGCUAAAUCUAUUCCUAAGAGUUCUUUUUCUAUGAACCUCAAAACUGACAGCCUUAAGAAUUAUCUAACUAAUAGGCUAAAACAAUAUUCUUAAACAUGAUAUAUUCUUCCUCCAAAAUCCAAGAAGUUCCACACAAGACUGUGCCUUUUUGUUGGAGGUAGUAGGUACAAAGAAAAAUAACUUGACCUUGAGUUUAGAGUACAUAUUCUGAUGUGGACUAGAUCAUUAAAUCACUAAAGUAAUAACCAAUAUGGCAGUGUAAUUAUGAUUAUAGGUUUUAUCUCUGACUCUUGGCAGCCAUGUUUGCUAGGAAAUUAUUUGCCAUGGUCUGCUCACCAAAUCCAAUUUACACAAUAUUAUUACAAUAGAGGGCCACAAUGAUGCUCUGUUGAAUGCCAAGAUGAAAACGGUAUCUUCUUCUAGAGAGGAUGGAGGUAGUCUACCCCUGUGAUACGAUAGUGAGUGUUGUCUAUAUUUUCCUAGGUGAAUUUGAACUACUACAUUUACACUCUUUGUGCGAUUAAAAAGGACGUAUCUUCCAGAUCAAUAAAAGCUUACCAAAAGUUACAGUAGGUAUUGAUCUCUUCUGGUAAUGAUAUUACAUCCAGCACAGAGCUGCAAUUGAGUUUUCACAUGCUUAAUUAUGCCGUAGUUCUCUGUCGUCUGCCAUGA